CCUACGGGAUGCAGCAGUGAGGAAUAUUGGUCAAUGGACGCAAGUCUGAACCAGCCAUGCCGCGUGCAGGAAGACGGCUCUAUGAGUUGUAAACUGCUUUUGUACGAGGGUAAACGCAGAUACGCGUAUCUGUCUGAGAGUAUCUUACGAAUAAGGAUCGGCUAACUCCGUGCCAGCAGCCGCGGUAAUACGGAGGAUUCAAGCGUUAUCCGGAUUUAUUGGGUUUAAAGGGUGCGUAGGCGGUCGGAUAAGUUAGAGGUGAAAGCCCGAGGCUCAACUUCGGAAUUGCCUCUGAUACUGUUAGGCUAGAGAGUAGUUGCGGUAGGCGGAAUGUAUGGUGUAGCGGUGAAAUGCUUAGAGAUCAUACAGAACACCGAUUGCGAAGGCAGCUUACCAAGCUACGUCUGACGUUGAGGCACGAAAGCGUGGGGAGCAAACAGGAUUAGAUACCCCAGUAGUC
This 460-nucleotide ribosomal RNA is filed under the name uncultured bacterium. RNAcentral describes it as "partial 16S ribosomal RNA". It matches the Rfam family "Bacterial small subunit ribosomal RNA", at positions 338 to 795 of the family's 1533-position model. The record is from RNAcentral.